GUCUACCCCCAUACCACCCUGUUGCACCCAAUCCCGUCUGAUCUCAGAAGCUAAGUAGGGUUGGGCCUGGUUAGUCCUUCGAAGGAAGAAAUAACAAAUAACACUGGUGGCUUCCACA
This 118-nucleotide ribosomal RNA is filed under the name Octodon degus (degu). The record is from RNAcentral. Lineage: Eukaryota; Metazoa; Chordata; Mammalia; Rodentia; Octodontidae.